CAUGGCCCCCUCCCUGGAUCCGCCCUUGAACAGAAUAUACUGCUAAAGAGUUGUUCCGCCAUAUUGCCUUCCCCAUUUAGCCCGUGAAAGCGAUCCCAUUUACUUCACCUCAUGUCACAUCCCCUCCCUCCCACAUAUGAAACUCAAUAAAAAGAAGAAGAAUUUUGAAAACUGCCGGCGUCCAUUGUGAUUGUGUACUAAUAGUAAUGUGAACAUUGCUUAUUUGUUUUUAUGUGUUAUGUUGUUUAGUUUUCACGUUUCAAUUCAAGAAUUCAAUUGUUCAGUUCCUGCCACUGUCUUCCUCUCACUGGUUCUUGUUUAAGUUCAAUUCAAUUCAACUAAAAUUCUGUACCCAUGAUGUGUUAUGUGUUAUAGUUGUAUUGGAAACAUCGUCUACGCUAAACUUUAGAUUACUGCUGAGGAUUUACCAAGGGACAGGGUACAUUACCGAAACGGAUAAAAUCAUGUCUGAUCAAAUAGAAGUAAAACAAGAAUUUAGUGAAGUGUGUAAAGAAGAUGAUGAUGAAGUGGGUGAUGCACUACUGGAUACCUUUAAAAUCGAGAUUAAGGAGGAGACUAAGAAGGAAAGUGCCUGUGAUACAUUUGAUUCUGCAGACCUUAAGGAGUAUCCUAUAAAAACUGAAGAACAAGAUGGUGUCUCUUGCGAAGACAUCAAAAAAUAUGCAAGUAAUCUACUAAACUGUUCUGGAAACAGUUUGAACCAAAACUUUACUGCCACUACAGAUGUGAAAACAGAAGAAAAUCCUUUUAAAUGUGAAUUUUGCUCCAAACGAUUAACAAAAAGAUCCUCUUUAAAAUCACAUUUGAGAGUGCAUACUGGAGAAAAACCAUUUACAUGUGACAUUUGCUCCAAACAGUUUUCAACAAACACACAUUUAACUAGACAUAGAAAAGUGCAUACUGGUGAAAAACCUUUCACAUGCCAAAUAUGCAACAAACGGUUUUCAAAUAGUUACAACUUAAAACAUCACAUAAAAGCGCAUAGUGGGGAAAGACCUUUUGCGUGUGAAAUAUGCAAGAAACAGUAUUCACACAGUUCAUACGUAAAAGUACAUAUGAGAGUGCACACUGGUGAAAAACCUUUCACCUGUAACGUAUGCAGCAAAAAAUUUUCACAGAGUUCUACUUUACAAUCACAUAUAAGAGUGCAUACUAGUGAAAAGCCAUUUUCUUGUGAAAUUUGCCCCAAACAAUUUUCAUUGAGGAAACUUUUAAAAUCACACAUGAAGGCGCAUACUGGUGAAAAACCUUUCACAUGCAAAAUAUGCUCCAAACAGUAUUCACACAGUUCUAGUUUUACAGCACAUGUGAAAACACACACUAGUAAAACGGGGCAUAGAUAAAAGAUUUUUUCUACAACCACUAUUCAAAGUGCACUUUUCUGCACGGUUUUAUGUUAGCAAACUUGAUAUUUUCUCACAGUAUAAGAUAUUUGACAUUAGUGUGCAGAAAAGUGACGUUUCUGUGCCGCAGAGUGACGUUUCUGUGCCGUAAAGUUCUUUUCUGCACAGUUGACUACCUCAUUCUGAGUAACGUUAUAUUCUGUUUACAUCCGUGGACUACCGCAUUCUGAGUAACGUUAUAUUCUGUUUACAUCCGUGGUUAAACUUUAGACAAAUAUAUAACCUAUAAGACAAUUAUUAUAUUUAACUAUAGCAUAGAAACUAAAUUAUGGAUGUUACAGCUGUUUUAUUUUACAAUUUUAUUCUUAUUAAACAUUUGAUAAUUAUCAAAUAACCAAUAAGGAUUUAGCAACCUGUGCAAGAGACGUCGAAUGAAGUAGGUUUUGUGUAAAUCCGUGACUGCAUAAAUAUAAUGUCAAUAAUGUGUAAUAAUUGUUUAAAUUUAAACAAAUUAAGGCAGUGCAUUAAUUUUUUAACUGAUUUCUGUGCAAUUUAUUUAGGUAUAAGGAAUUUAAAUUGAUUAGUAGGUAUUAAUUAAAUACAGUUUAAAAUUUAUCACAUAGGUACCUAUUAUAAUUAAUCGUCGUUUGGAAAUUGUGAUUUUUAUUUUUAGGAAAAACUGUGCUUGUAGAAAAAGUAUAGUGUGAAACACGUGCAGAAAGGCAAUUUCUCACUCGUUUGAAUUGCG
Molecule: unclassified non-coding RNA, 2112 nt
Filed under: Diabrotica virgifera virgifera (western corn rootworm)
Lineage: Eukaryota; Metazoa; Arthropoda; Insecta; Coleoptera; Chrysomelidae
Description: gastrula zinc finger protein XlCGF8.2DB-like
Source: RNAcentral